GCUGGAGGUAUCAGAAGUGCGAAUGCUGACAUAAGUAACGAUAAAGCGGGUGAAAAGCCCGCUCGCCGGAAGACCAAGGGUUCCUGUCCAACGUUAAUCGGGGCAGGGUGAGUCGACCCCUAAGGCGAGGCCGAAAGGCGUAGUCGAUGGGAAACGGGUUAAUAUUCCCGUACUUGGUGUUACUGCGAAGGGGGGACGGAGAAGGCUAUGUUGGCCGGGCGACGGUUGUCCCGGUUUAAGCGUGUAGGCUGGUUUUCCAGGCAAAUCCGGAAAAUCAAGGCUGAGGCGUGACGACGAGGCACUACGGUGCUGAAGCAACAAAUGCCCUGCUUCCAGGAAAAGCCUCUAAGCAUCAGGUAACAUCAAAUCGUACCCCAAACCGACACAGGUGGUCAGGUAGAGAAUACCAAGGCGCUUGAGAGAACUCGGGUGAAGGAACUAGGCAAAAUGGUGCCGUAACUUCGGGAGAAGGCACGCUGACACGUAGGUGAAGUGAUUUACUCAUGGAGCUGAAGUCAGUCGAAGAUACCAGCUGGCUGCAACUGUUUAUUAAAAACACAGCACUGUGCAAACACGAAAGUGGACGUAUACGGUGUGACGCCUGCCCGGUGCCGGAAGGUUAAUUGAUGGGGUCAGCGCAAGCGAAGCUCCUGAUCGAAGCCCCGGUAAACGGCGGCCGUAACUAUAACGGUCCUAAGGUAGCGAAAUUCCUUGUCGGGUAAGUUCCGACCUGCACGAAUGGCGUAAUGAUGGCCAGGCUGUCUCCACCCGAGACUCAGUGAAAUUGAACUCGCUGUGAAGAUGCAGUGUACCCGCGGCAAGACGGAAAGACCCCGUGAACCUUUACUAUAGCUUGACACUGAACAUUGAGCCUUGAUGUGUAGGAUAGGUGGGAGGCUUUGAAGUGUGGACGCCAGUCUGCAUGGAGCCGACCUUGAAAUACCACCCUUUAAUGUUUGAUGUUCUAACGUGGACCCGUAAUCCGGGUUGCGGACAGUGUCUGGUGGGUAGUUUGACUGGGGCGGUCUCCUCCUAAAGAGUAACGGAGGAGCACGAAGGUUGGCUAAUCCUGGUCGGACAUCAGGAGGUUAGUGCAAUGGCAUAAGCCAGCUUGACUGCGAGCGUGACGGCGCGAGCAGGUGCGAAAGCAGGUCAUAGUGAUCCGGUGGUUCUGAAUGGAAGGGCCAUCGCUCAACGGAUAAAAGGUACUCCGGGGAUAACAGGCUGAUACCGCCCAAGAGUUCAUAUCGACGGCGGUGUUUGGCACCUCGAUGUCGGCUCAUCACAUCCUGGGGCUGAAGUAGGUCCCAAGGGUAUGGCUGUUCGCCAUUUAAAGUGGUACGCGAGCUGGGUUUAGAACGUCGUGAGACAGUUCGGUCCCUAUCUGCCGUGGGCGCUGGAGAACUGAGGGGGGCUGCUCCUAGUACGAGAGGACCGGAGUGGACGCAUCACUGGUGUUCGGGUUGUCAUGCCAAUGGCACUGCCCGGUAGCUAAAUGCGGAAGAGAUAAGUGCUGAAAGCAUCUAAGCACGAAACUUGCCCCGAGAUGAGUUCUCCCUGAGACUUAGAGUCUCCUGAAGGAACGUUGAAGACGACGACGUUGAUAGGCCGGGUGUGUAAGCGCAGCGAUGCGUUGAGCUAACCGGUACUAAUGAACCGUGAGGCUUAACCUUACAACGCCGAAG
Molecule: ribosomal RNA, 1685 nt
Filed under: Salmonella enterica subsp. enterica serovar Muenchen
Lineage: Bacteria; Pseudomonadati; Pseudomonadota; Gammaproteobacteria; Enterobacterales; Enterobacteriaceae
Also listed under: 1 other name
Description: partial 23S ribosomal RNA
Rfam family: Bacterial large subunit ribosomal RNA
Source: RNAcentral